Long non-coding RNA from Neocloeon triangulifer, 324 nucleotides. RefSeq lists it as uncharacterized. NCBI's taxonomy places the organism in Eukaryota, Metazoa, Arthropoda, Insecta, Ephemeroptera, Baetidae. The record is from RefSeq and is a predicted model, not a curated record. The transcript has 3 exons.
AAAACUUCAAUUCUCUAAUAUCGCUAUGAUAUUAAGGUUUAGCUAAUCACUCUUUAUGUUGUUGUAAUUUCCUACACUCGCAAUGGACUGUAAAUAUUGGAUUCUGCUACUUAUUAUUCUUGUUGAGGACUACCACAGUAGUGCAGCAAACCUAAAAAAUAGCAUACAGGGAAGGAAUCACUUAGCGAAAACUGCGAGCUCCGGUCGCGUGAUCAAAUGCUGCAGAAAUGAUAAAUGCAUCAAGCUAAGUCGCGUGAUUAGAUAUUCAAGUAGUACUAAAGCUAAUAGGGCACGAUCGACAACUCUUUUGAAAACCUCGUUAAC